UCCAGGCCUUUCAGAGCCACUGACACACCAGCAGCACAACGAUGAUGUCACUGACUCUACUGCUGACCAUCCUGGGGCUCCUGGUUCAGGGUUCCUCAGCAGAUAUCAUCCUGACUCAGACUCCGGUUUCCCAGUCUGUUGCUCCAGGACAUACUGUGUCCAUCAGAUGUAAAGCCAGUUCCAGUGCUGGUACCUGCCUCAACUGGUACCUUCAGAAGGACAAACAAUCUCCAAAACUUUUAAUAUACUAUGCUUCAUCUCGUCAGUCUGGGAUUCCAGAUCGUUUUAGUGGAAGUGGAUCUGGAACUGAUUACACUUUAACAAUCAGUGGCAUUCAGGCUGAAGAUGGAGGAGAUUAUUACUGUCAGCAGUGUAAUAGCUUCCCGUUCACACAGUGAUACAACGUCGUACAAAAACCUCUCGGCUGCAGAGGAACUGAUCCACAGCUGCUGUUAAACAGAA
Molecule: non-coding RNA, 462 nt
Organism: Poecilia latipinna (sailfin molly)
Lineage: Eukaryota; Metazoa; Chordata; Actinopteri; Cyprinodontiformes; Poeciliidae
Source: the annotation of a RefSeq genome assembly